Molecule: unclassified non-coding RNA, 1017 nt
Filed under: Bombus terrestris (buff-tailed bumblebee)
Lineage: Eukaryota; Metazoa; Arthropoda; Insecta; Hymenoptera; Apidae
Description: misc RNA ENSBTSG00005020614.1
Source: RNAcentral
UAAUUUUUCUUUUUUUUUUUUUUUUUUUUUUUUUCCACUAUGGUUCCAUUUAUUUGUAUAUGACAGCAGUACGAUCUGCUUCAUUUCUUCUUAUAACAAGAAAAAAAAAAAGACGAAAAACAUUAAUACUUCCUCUUUGUCGUCAUACUGUCUAGAAAAUCGCUUGUAUAAUUACAACUCGACACGCUUUCGAUAUAUGACAAAAAAAAAAAGGAUAAAAGAAAAAGAAACGAAGAACAAAAAACGAAAGAGAGAAAAAAAAUGAAACACACGCUGCUGCUUUCUUUCGCCGUUUCACAAGACACACGCGUGUUGAACCAAGCGAUCGUCGCUCGUUCACAUAGAUAUUUUUGUUUUAAUCUCUGCCCUUAAGUUACGCUGGCCGCAGCCUUAAUCUUAAGCAACGAUUUUUCAAUAUCUUUUACACACUAGAGGUCAUCCCUCUUUCUCUCUCUCUCUCACACACACACACACAUACACACACACACACACUCACUCACUUUCAUAUUCAUUCUAUUCAUUCUGCCGUCUAGUGCUCGAUCGAAUUCUUACGUAAUAUGUAUAUCUGUAUAAUAUAAUAAUAUAUUCUCUUUGUAAAGUACAUAAUAAACCCUAAGCUGAAUUUUGAUCGGUACAAUAAGUCUGAGAUGAUUUGUUCAACGAAUCGAGCACCAUGAUCGCGAUUCAAACGAGAAAGGACAUCUAGAACCGUGAAUUUCAUUAAAUGAAAUGACCGUCGAAACGAUGUGAAAUGAUCGUCAUACGUCAUUCAAUGCGCCGAUUGUACGUGUUAUAUAAAACAUUUUGAAAUUUCAUCAGCAUUGUAGCGUGACAUCACUUGUCAUGAUUAUAUUGAUAAAGCUGGAAAUCUACCUAUAUGAAAAUGUACACGGCAUUAUUAUUUUUUGUCAGAUAUCAAACUAUGCCAAUAUAUAUUGAUCGAUUUUCAUUACCGUGCUAACUAAUGAAAUUUCAGAACGUUUUGUACAAUACAAAUAAUACAUUCACCAAAGGCUC